RNAcentral lists this ribosomal RNA (256 nucleotides) under uncultured Pseudomonas sp. Its description in RNAcentral is "partial 16S ribosomal RNA". It matches the Rfam family "Bacterial small subunit ribosomal RNA", at positions 96 to 350 of the family's 1533-position model. Lineage: Bacteria; Pseudomonadati; Pseudomonadota; Gammaproteobacteria; Pseudomonadales; Pseudomonadaceae. The record is from RNAcentral.
CGGCGGACGGGUGAGUAAUGCCUAGGAAUCUGCCUGGUAGUGGGGGACAACGUUUCGAAAGGAACGCUAAUACCGCAUACGACCUACGGGUGAAAGCAGGGGAUCUUCGGACCUUGCGCGAUUGAAUGAGCCGAUGUCGGAUUAGCUAGUUGGCGGGGUAAAGGCCCACCAAGGCGACGAUCCGUAGCUGGUCUGAGAGGAUGAUCAGCCACACUGGAACUGAGACACGGUCCAGACUCCUACGGGAGGCACAGUU